RNAcentral lists this ribosomal RNA (492 nucleotides) under uncultured bacterium. RNAcentral's name for it is "partial 16S ribosomal RNA". It matches the Rfam family "Bacterial small subunit ribosomal RNA", at positions 29 to 507 of the family's 1533-position model. The record is from RNAcentral.
AGUGAACGCUGGCGGUAGGCCUAACACAUGCAAGUCGAACGGCAGCACAGUAAGAGCUUGCUCUUACGGGUGGCGAGUGGCGGACGGGUGAGGAAUACAUCGGAAUCUACUUUUUCGUGGGGGAUAACGUAGGGAAACUUACGCUAAUACCGCAUACGACCUACGGGUGAAAGCAGGGGAUCUUCGGACCUUGCGCGAUUGAAUGAGCCGAUGUCGGAUUAGCUAGUUGGCGGGGUAAAGGCCCACCAAGGCGACGAUCCGUAGCUGGUCUGAGAGGAUGGUUAGCCCAACUGGAAAUGAGAACCGGGCCAGACUCCUACGGGAGGGCAGAGGGGGGAAAUUUGGACAAUGGGGGCAAGCCCGAUUCAGCCAUACCGCGGGGGGGAAGAAGGCCUUCGGGUUUGUAAACCCUUUUGUUGGGAAAGAAAAGCAGCAGGUUAAUACCCCGCUGUUCUGACGGUACCCAAAGAAUAAGCACCGGCUAACUUCGUG